UCAAAACAGUUUACCACCCUGAGCAUGUGAUCUUGACUGAUCUCGGCUGCUAAGCAGUGUCGGCCCUUUUUUUAAACGACGGAGAAAUUUUCUUUUUUUAAAGGUAUUUUUCUGGA
This 116-nucleotide ribosomal RNA is filed under the name Amphilophus citrinellus (Midas cichlid). The record is from RNAcentral. Lineage: Eukaryota; Metazoa; Chordata; Actinopteri; Cichliformes; Cichlidae.